GCAUUUUUGUGAUUUGCAGCUCGUGGUCUGGGUCCAGUUGCAUAGUCACAAAAGUGAUC
RNAcentral lists this microRNA precursor (59 nucleotides) under Alligator mississippiensis (American alligator). Its description in RNAcentral is "Ami-Mir-153-P2_pre stem-loop". It matches the Rfam family "mir-153 microRNA precursor family", at positions 9 to 64 of the family's 73-position model. The record is from RNAcentral. Lineage: Eukaryota; Metazoa; Chordata; Crocodylia; Alligatoridae.